Molecule: long non-coding RNA, 2433 nt
Filed under: Gossypium barbadense (sea-island cotton)
Lineage: Eukaryota; Viridiplantae; Streptophyta; Magnoliopsida; Malvales; Malvaceae
Description: long non-coding RNA (GBAR_LNC015410)
Source: RNAcentral
AGAUUCAUACACAAAUGGGGUGGGUUUUGGCCAAGAUUUUGGCGGAUCGGACGGCCCGGUUUUGCCUCCGCCGGCGGAGAUGGAGCCUGAGGAAGGUGUUGCUCUCAGGGAAUGGAGAAGGUUAUGAUCCAUUAAAAAAAUUUCAUGUUUUUUUGAAUAAUUUUGUCUUAUAUUAAAGUAUAGAGUUUGGGGAAGUUAAAGAGUUAGGAAUUGAAGUUAUGAAUAUGGCACUUAGGUAUUUUGGAAAUGUGCAAAAGAUCUAGAUUUAGUGAAUUUUUUAUCUUUAUGAAGAUUUUGAAUAUGUUUGGUUAAGUCAUAUUAGGGUGUAAAAGAACUGAAUUUUGUGAAAAGUUUUAAAUAAGUUUGGUUAAGCCAUAUUAGGGUUUAAGUAGGGAAAUCUAAGAAUUUAGUGCUAAUUUCUGGGAUUAGAAGUAGAGUUGUAGGAUUUUACUUCUCUUUGGAUUUAUUCUUUUAAGAGAUUGAAUCAAAGAGAAGGAAUGAGGUACUAGCAUGGGUGCACCAUAUAAGAAAUUCGGAUAGAAGAAUUGGGUCAAAAUAUGAAGUUAGAUUUCGGCAUGAAAAUGGAGUUGUAGCGCUAGUAAUUUCCCUCCAAGCUGGCAUUUUUAAAACUAAAGAUAAGCUAAUUGGUGGUAUCAUUGGAAAAAAGCAGUUUCCUGUCAAUUGGACACUCAAGCCAUUAUUGGACGGUAUCUGCAUCCUAAGAGCACAAAUCUAGAGUAUACUCUGGCUAGUUUGGAAAAAACGGAGAGCUAAAAUAUUUUAGGACAGGAUUGGUUGUGCGUUUACUUUUUUAUCACUUGUGAACUUUGGUCAUCUUAUAAAAGAAAAAAGAUUGAAUCAAGAGAAUAUCUGGAUUUUUUUUUUCCCUUUUUUGUAUUUCCUUUAAUAAUUUAUACAUUUCUUUUGAGUAAAUUUUGUAGUGGCUUAGCUUAGUUGGUUGGUGUACCCACCCUAAGCGGUGCACCAAGCCGUUUCGGAGUCCGAAUGCCAUGUAAGUGUUGGGUACAGAUAUGUAUCCAACAUAUAUAUCUUAAUUUUUUUUCCAUGUGUUAUGAGACCCUUGGAGGUUCUACCUCUAUACCUCCGGAUAUACCUCAGGCAUGGGUGUCAAGCAAGGAUGGCAACAGAGAGCAAGCCUUUCCCUUAUCACAGGCUACAGUCUCAUUUAUACCAAAAAGAUAAAUAAGUAAAUAAUGAAAAUGUGAAAGCUGUUGCUAAUUUUAUAGGUUUCAAUGGUGCUAAACGUGGGAAAUAUGACUGUUGUUAUUGCAUAGGGAGAAUGCAAUUCGGUUGGAGGAGAAGGAGAAGAGGGAGAAGGAGUUAUUGAGCCAAAUAAUUGAGGAAGCUGAUCAAUACAAAGUUGAGUUUUAUAAGAAAAGGGAGGUGACCUGUGAAAAUAACAAGGCCAAUAACAGAGACAAAGAGAAGGUAUCCUUUUUUUUUUGUUGUUGUUGAAGCUGUAUGCUAAUAUUUUUACAUUUUUAGAGAAGUUUGUAACUUGCCCAAAACAAAACAGAACUGAAAAAAGAAGGUAUUUUUUUUUCUUGUUCCAACUUCUAAUCGUGCAUGAACUGUUAGGUGCUAAAUGCGGCAUGCAUUCUUUAGUCGGUAUUUAACUGCUGAUGUUGAUAUUAUCAUGAUGUUCAUUGUCUAUGAUUGAACAUUGAGCUGGUAAUAUGCUCUGGGAUGGAAACAUUUUCUUAUCUCUUCAGUGACUGAAAACUCAAUACUCCUACUGGACGGAGGAUUGGUGUCACUUUACUUAUCGCCUUAUAAAGUAGGAACCGGUAAGUCAUUUGUAGAUGUAAAGUGAUUGAAACUACGACAUUCUUGGCCCAUUAUGUCACAUCUUUAAUCUGGAAAUUCAUUUUACUGAAUUAACUUGGUUUGUUGGGUUAUAGAAUAACAUUCUCAUAAAAUUUGCUUAUGUUUCGUUUACUAACAUCUUAGAUACAGAGCAAUGUGCCAAUGCCAUAUAUAAUGCACUAUAACUUGUAUUCUGUGUCAGAUAUUUGUAGCCAAUCAUGAGAAAUUCCAUGCCGAAGCUGAUAAGCAUUACUGGAAAGCAAUCGCGGAGCUCAUUCCUAAUGAAGUGCCAACCAUAGAGAAAAGGGGAAAAAAGGAGAAGGAGAAGAAGCCUUCCAUUGUUGUUGUCCAAGGUCCUAAGCCCGGGAAACCUACUGACCGUUCGAGGAUGAGACAGAUACUCGUGAAACUAAAGCACAACACACCUUCUCACCUGAAGCACUCUCCGCCGCCACCACCUGCAGCUGCUGCUGCAAAAGAUCAAGAUGCAAAAACUGGUAAUACUUCUUCUGUCCCAGCUGCUCUUCCAGUCACAAGCACCCCUGAAGCUGUAGUAGCUGCUUAGAUAGUUUUUAUUUUAACUUAUCAGCUUCUGUAAUAAAAAAG